This 706-nucleotide long non-coding RNA is filed under the name Ovis aries (sheep). RNAcentral describes it as "lncRNA (ENSOARG00000025443.1)". Lineage: Eukaryota; Metazoa; Chordata; Mammalia; Artiodactyla; Bovidae. The record is from RNAcentral.
CCUCGGGGCUGGGGGGAGGGGUGGCGUAUACAUGUAAAAUAUGGUCAUCAUUGUUCGCUUCGCUCCUUUUCUUUCCGAGGAAUCCCAGUGUACUGUACCGAUGUAACGAACUGAUAGGCACACACCAUGUAUAGGGAUGACUUCAUCCCCGUCGUGUGCAGCAGCAAGAGUGGAAGAAGAGAAACGCAGCUCGGGAAACCGCUUUCUGUCGUCAUUAGCAAAAAGGGAAUUCCGGCCGCAACAGGGGGAUAAAGGAUCGUUAACAAAAUCUUAUUUGAAUGCUCCAAAUUGCUCUCGGUGGGUCCACAAGGUCUUAAAAGAAAAGUAUCUGUCCAUGUUCAAGUUCAAGUUUCUAUGGUGGAAAGCACCCCUCUCAGGCCAUCAGGUUGGUGGCAAAGCUAAGUAUGAAGAAGAAGCUCCUCCCCUCAUCCACCAGCUCUUAGGAAUCAGCUCCUGCUCAGUUACCCUUGGCAGAGUUCUCAGUAAGGGACCAUUGUCGGUAUAUCAUGACUAAGGAGCCAGGCAGAAGUUGGGAUGAAACCCAUGUUUCUCUCCAACUGGAAAAAGACACUGAAGUGAUUCUUCAGAAGAGUUCAAGAAGGCCAUUUCUCUCCAAAGAGGGAAGAAGGAAUGAAGCAGAGAUUCCUGGAGGUCUCACAGCAAUAUUUUGGAUCUUGGCCUCCAGACUUACUAGGCAACAGUCCAG